RNAcentral lists this ribosomal RNA (505 nucleotides) under uncultured bacterium. RNAcentral describes it as "partial 16S ribosomal RNA". It matches the Rfam family "Bacterial small subunit ribosomal RNA", at positions 28 to 507 of the family's 1533-position model. The record is from RNAcentral.
GACGAACGCUGGCGGCGUGCCUAAUACAUGCAAGUGGGACGCAAGGAAACACACUGUGCUUGCACACCGUGUUUUCUUGAGUCGCGAACGGGUGAGUAACGCGUAGGUAACCUGCCUAUUAGCGGGGGAUAACUAUUGGAAACGAUAGCUAAUACCGCAUAAUAUUAAUUAUUGCAUGAUAAUUGAUUGAAAGAUGCAAGCGCAUCACUAGUAGAUGGACCUGCGUUGUAUUAGCUAGUUGGUAAGGUAAGAGCUUACCAAGGCGACGAUACAUAGCCGACCGGAGAGGGGGAUCGGCCACACUGGGACUGAGACACGGCCCAGACUCCUACGGGAGGCAGCAGUAGGGAAUCUUCGGCAAUGGACGAAAGUCUGACCGAGCAACGCCGCGUGAGUGAAGAAGGUUUUCGGAUCGUAAAGCUCUGUUGUAAGUCAAGAACGUGUGUGAGAGUGGAAAGUUCACACAGUGACGGUAGCUUACCAGAAAGGGACGGCUAACUACGUG